Molecule: ribosomal RNA, 536 nt
Filed under: Bacillus subtilis
Lineage: Bacteria; Bacillati; Bacillota; Bacilli; Caryophanales; Bacillaceae
Description: bacterial SSU rRNA
Rfam family: Bacterial small subunit ribosomal RNA
Source: RNAcentral
CAGGUCUUGACAUCCUCUGACAAUCCUAGAGAUAGGACGUCCCCUUCGGGGCAGAGUGACAGGUGGUGGUGCAUGGUUGUCGUCAGCUCGUGUCGUGAGAUGUUGGGUUAAGUCCCGCAACGAGCGCAACCCUUGAUCUUAGUUGCCAGCAUUCAGUUGGGCACUCUAAGGUGACUGCCGGUGACAAACCGGAGGAAGGUGGGGAUGACGUCAAAUCAUCAUGCCCCUUAUGACCUGGGCUACACACGUGCUACAAUGGACAGAACAAAGGGCAGCAAAACCGCGAGGUUAAGCCAAUCCCACAAAUCUGUUCUCAGUUCGGAUCGCAGUCUGCAACUCGACUGCGUGAAGCUGGAAUCGCUAGUAAUCGCGGAUCAGCAUGCCGCGGUGAAUACGUUCCCGGGCCUUGUACACACCGCCCGUCACACCACGAGAGUUUGUAACACCCGAAGUCGGUGAGGUAACCUUUUAGGAGCCAGCCGCCGAAGGUGGGACAGAUGAUUGGGGUGAAGUCGUAACAAGGUAGCCGUAAAGCC